RNAcentral lists this ribosomal RNA (500 nucleotides) under uncultured bacterium. RNAcentral describes it as "partial 16S ribosomal RNA". It matches the Rfam family "Bacterial small subunit ribosomal RNA", at positions 30 to 523 of the family's 1533-position model. The record is from RNAcentral.
AUUGAACGCUGGCGGCAGGCCUAACACAUGCAAGUCGAGCGGAUGAGAGGAGCUUGCUCCUCGAUUCAGCGGCGGACGGGUGAGUAAUGCCUAGGAAUCUGCCUAGUAGUGGGGGACAACGUUUCGAAAGGAACGCUAAUACCGCAUACGUCCUACGGGAGAAAGUGGGGGAUCUUCGGACCUCACGCUAUUAGAUGAGCCUAGGUCGGAUUAGCUAGUUGGUAGGGUAAAGGCCUACCAAGGCGACGAUCCGUAACUUGUCUGAGAGGAUGAUCAGGCACACUGGAACUGAGACACGGUCCAGACUCCUACGGGAGGCAGCAGUGGGGAAUAUUGGACAAUGGGCGAAAGCCUGAUCCAGCCAUGCCGCGUGUGUGAAGAAGGCCUUCGGGUCGUAAAGCACUUUAAGUUGGGAGGAAGGGCUCAUAGCGAAUACCUGUGAGUUUUGACGUUACCAACAGAAUAAGCACCGGCUAACUUCGUGCCAGCCGCCGCGGUAA